GGAAUCCAGAUUCUCAUUUGAGUAGCCGCCAUAUACCUGAAGACUUGGAAACUGCAAGCUUUUGAAGAAAUGGACAGUCUCUGGAUUCCAGGAGCAGCCACACUGGAGGUCUUAAUUGGUACGUCCUGUUUGCUUGAUCAGAGACUCUGAUUCAGGGAUAGAUAGGUGACUUGCAUUGCAGAUUCUCAGAUGCACUCAGACACACUCCUUGUCACCCACCAGGCUUAACCAGAAAGCAGAUAGCUCCUUCUGUGGCUGGUGGUCAACGUAUUCCCACAAGCAUGGCCAAACUGUGGUGAAGCUCACACCAGAGCCAUGCUGCCCAGCACACUACCCACUGGCCAGUGGCUGUUGAGCACCUAAGUCCAAACUAAAAUGUACUGUACACGUGAUGCACACACCAGGCUUGAAGAUCCGGCAUCUCAUAAGUCACUUUUAUGCUGUUUACACAUGGUAUUGAUAAUACUUUGAAAAUGUUCAAUUGAAAUAUGAUAAUAACAUUAAUUCCACCCCUAGCUUUUUGCAUGUAUUGUGGCUUUGGUAAAUGUAACAUUCCAUGUUUGGCUCAUACACUAUUGGUGUUGGCCCACACUCUGGCCUUGGCAAAACAGGUGCUAAUGAUGUUCUUGAUUAUCCAGAUCUACCAAGCCUGAAACCUGACUCACCUCUGCAUUUUCUAGAGAAUUGUCAGGAUUUUUGCAUUGUCAAGAUCUUUUAAAUUUAUUAAAUCACUCUGGGUUUAUAUUUUUUGUUAUUUACAAUCAAAAUGGCUUAUUUUAAA
This 781-nucleotide long non-coding RNA is filed under the name Marmota monax (woodchuck). The record is from RNAcentral. Lineage: Eukaryota; Metazoa; Chordata; Mammalia; Rodentia; Sciuridae.